AUUAUCUAGAUUUUAUCAUUCUUUCUGCAUAAAAUUCUGAAGAAUUUUUUUUAAUUAAAAUUUGAUUUUAAAGAAAAAGGUUAUUUUUUCAGUUUAGUUGUAUUUAUUAAAGUUUGGGUUUUUCUGAUUAUUCCGUCUAGGGCGAGCUAUGAAAAUUCAGAUAACAAGUUCUGCUCCUCCAACAAGCACAAUGGUAAACAACUCAUUUUCUAACAAAUUUGGAAAAAGAGGAGGAAAUACUGGAAACAGAUUUCCUGGACGUGGUCGAGGUGGUAAUAGAGGAAGAGGGAGAGGCAGGGGUGGUUUCUCUAGAAGUUAAAAGUUGUACUAAAAAUUCAAAAGGUGAU
Parasteatoda tepidariorum (common house spider) is the source of this 347-nucleotide non-coding RNA. Lineage: Eukaryota; Metazoa; Arthropoda; Arachnida; Araneae; Theridiidae. The record is from RefSeq and is a predicted model, not a curated record.